AGUGAACGCUGGCGGCAGGCCUAACACAUGCAAGUCGAGCGGCAGCGCGGGGGCAACCCUGGCGGCGAGCGGCGGACGGGUGAGGAAUUCGUCGGAAUCUGCCUUUUUGUGGGGGAUAACGUAGGGAAACUUACGCUAAUACCGCAUACGUCCUACGGGAGAAAGUGGGGGACCGCAAGGCCUCACGCAGAAAGAUGAGCCGACGACCGAUUAGCUAGUUGGUGGGGUAAAGGCCCACCAAGGCGACGAUCGGUAGCUGGUCUGAGAGGAUGAUCAGCCACACUGGGACUGAGACACGGCCCAGACUCAUACGGGAGGCAGCAGUGGGGAAUAUUGGACAGUGGGCGCAAGCCUGAUCCAGCCAUGCCGCGUGUGUGAAGAAGGCCUUCGGGUUGUAAAGCACUUUUGUCCGGAAAGAAAUCCCUGGAGCUAAUACCUUCGGGGGAUGACGGUACCGGAAGAAUAAGCACCGGCUAACUUCGU
This 483-nucleotide ribosomal RNA is filed under the name uncultured bacterium. RNAcentral describes it as "partial 16S ribosomal RNA". It matches the Rfam family "Bacterial small subunit ribosomal RNA", at positions 29 to 506 of the family's 1533-position model. The record is from RNAcentral.